This 237-nucleotide ribosomal RNA is filed under the name uncultured Cortinarius. RNAcentral's name for it is "partial 28S ribosomal RNA". It matches the Rfam family "Eukaryotic large subunit ribosomal RNA", at positions 1 to 231 of the family's 3401-position model. Lineage: Eukaryota; Fungi; Basidiomycota; Agaricomycetes; Agaricales; Cortinariaceae. The record is from RNAcentral.
GUGACCUCCAAUCAGGUAGGACUACCCGCUGAACUUAAGCAUAUCAAUAAGCGGAGGAAAAGAAACUAACAAGGAUUCCCCUAGUAACUGCGAGUGAAGCGGGAAAAGCUCAAAUUUAAAAUCUGCCGGUCUUUUGGCUGUCCGAGUUGUAAUCUAGAGAAGUGUUAUCCGCGCUGGACCGUGUACAAGUCUCCUGGAAUGGAGCAUCAUAGAGGGUGAGAAUCCCGUCUUUGACAU